This 395-nucleotide ribosomal RNA is filed under the name uncultured bacterium. RNAcentral describes it as "bacterial SSU rRNA". It matches the Rfam family "Bacterial small subunit ribosomal RNA", at positions 30 to 417 of the family's 1533-position model. The record is from RNAcentral.
AGCGAACGCUGGCGGCGUGCUUAACACAUGCAAGUCGAGUGCGCGUUUCGUAGCAAUACGGGAUGGCGCACGGCGCACGGGUGAGGAACACGUGGGCAACAUGCCCUCUGAUGGGGGAAUAACCCCGCGAAAGCGGGGCUAAUACCGCAUAAGAUUCCGGGGACCUCGGUCCCUGGACUGAAAGCCCGCAAGGGCGUCGGAGGAGUGGCCCGCGGCCGAUUAGCUUGUUGGCGGGGUAACGGCCCACCAAGGCAAUGAUCGGUAGCCGGUCUGAGAGGACGACCAGCCACACUGGGACUGAGACACGGCCCAGACUCCUACGGGAGGCAGCAGUAGGGAAUCUUGCGCAAUGGGCGAAAGCCUGACGCAGCAACGCCGCGUGGGGAUGACGGCCU